This 423-nucleotide ribosomal RNA is filed under the name uncultured bacterium. Its description in RNAcentral is "bacterial SSU rRNA". It matches the Rfam family "Bacterial small subunit ribosomal RNA", at positions 355 to 775 of the family's 1533-position model. The record is from RNAcentral.
UAAGGAAUAUUGGUCAAUGGGCGCAAGCCUGAACCAGCCAUGCCGCGUGCAGGAAGACGGCCCUACGGGUUGUAAACUGCUUUUAUACGGGAAUAAACCCCGGUACGUGUACCGGGCUGAAUGUACUGUAAGAAUAAGGAUCGGCUAACUCCGUGCCAGCAGCCGCGGUAAUACGGAGGAUCCAAGCGUUAUCCGGAUUUAUUGGGUUUAAAGGGUGCGUAGGUGGCCUGGUAAGUCAGGGGUGAAAGACGGUAGCUUAACUAUCGCAGUGCCUUUGAUACUGCCGGGCUUGAAUAAACUAGAGGUAGGCGGAAUGUGACAAGUAGCGGUGAAAUGCAUAGAUAUGUCACAGAACACCGAUUGCGAAGGCAGCUUACUAUGGUUUUAUUGACACUGAGGCACGAAAGCGUGGGGAUCAAACAG